RNAcentral lists this ribosomal RNA (402 nucleotides) under uncultured Allobosea sp. RNAcentral describes it as "bacterial SSU rRNA". It matches the Rfam family "Bacterial small subunit ribosomal RNA", at positions 355 to 774 of the family's 1533-position model. RNAcentral also lists the same sequence under 1 other name. The record is from RNAcentral. Lineage: Bacteria; Pseudomonadati; Pseudomonadota; Alphaproteobacteria; Hyphomicrobiales; Alloboseaceae.
UGGGGAAUAUUGGACAAUGGGCGCAAGCCUGAUCCAGCCAUGCCGCGUGAGUGAUGAAGGCCUUAGGGUUGUAAAGCUCUUUUGUCCGGGAAGAUAAUGACUGUACCGGAAGAAUAAGCCCCGGCUAACUUCGUGCCAGCAGCCGCGGUAAUACGAAGGGGGCUAGCGUUGCUCGGAAUCACUGGGCGUAAAGGGCGCGUAGGCGGACUUUUAAGUCGGAGGUGAAAGCCCAGGGCUCAACCCUGGAAUUGCCUUCGAUACUGGGAGUCUUGAGUUCGGAAGAGGUUGGUGGAACUGCGAGUGUAGAGGUGAAAUUCGUAGAUAUUCGCAAGAACACCGGUGGCGAAGGCGGCCAACUGGUCCGAUACUGACGCUGAGGCGCGAAAGCGUGGGGAGCAAACA